RNAcentral lists this ribosomal RNA (844 nucleotides) under Obliquifusoideum guttulatum. RNAcentral describes it as "Pezizomycotina sp. WD-2021a partial large subunit ribosomal RNA". It matches the Rfam family "Eukaryotic large subunit ribosomal RNA", at positions 71 to 938 of the family's 3401-position model. Lineage: Eukaryota; Fungi; Ascomycota; Sordariomycetes; Savoryellales; Savoryellaceae. The record is from RNAcentral.
GGGAUUGCCCUAGUAACGGCGAGUGAAGCGGCAACAGCCCAGAUUUGAAAUCUGGCCCUUUCGGGCCCGAGUUGUAGUCUGCAGAUGGAUCUUCAUGGCGAGGCGCCGCCCAAGUUCCCUGGAACGGGACGCCGGAGAGGGUGAGAGCCCCGUACUGGCGCGCGCCGAGCCUCUGCGAAGCCCAUUCGAAGAGUCGAGUAGUUUGGAAAUGCUGCUCUAAUUGUGGGGUAAAUCUCCCAUAAGGCUAAAUACCGGCCAGAGACCGAUAGCGCACAAGUAGCGUGAGCGAAAGAUGAAAAGAGCCUUGAACAAGGGCGUCAAAAAGCAUGUGAAAUUGUUGUGGGGGAAGCGCCUAGUGACAGACGUGGCGGCGGUUGGUUACCCGGCGUUCACGCGCCGGCGCACUCGGCCGCCGCCAGGCCAGCAUCGGUUCGGACUUGGGGCCCACUGCCGCGGGGGACGUGGCUCCUCCGGGAGCGUUAUAACCCCGUGGUGACGCCCUGAACCGGACCGAGGAACGCGCAUCUGCCCGGAUGCUGGCGUAAUGGCACUCGGCGACCCGUCUUGAAACACGGACCAAGGAGUUGACCUGGCGUGCGAGUGUUUGGGUGCAAAGCCCUCACGCGCAGUGAAAGCGAACGCUGGUGGGAGCCCUCGGGCGCACCAUCGACCGAUCCUGAAGCUUGCGGAUGGAUUUGAGUAGGAGCACGCCGGGUCUGACCCGAAAGAAGGUGAACUAUGCAUGAAUAGGGUGAAGCCAGAGGAAACUCUGGUGGAGGCUCGCAGCGGUUCUGACGUGCAAAUCGAUCGUCAAAUUUGUGCAUGGGGGCGAAAGACCAAUCGA